CUCAGGAUUUGCCGAGGAUUGCUCCGUGGCCUGUACAGGAUUGGUUUCCAUCAUAUGUCCCACGUGCGCUUGGGAAGAACGUAGAUUCCCGUCAGGGGCCGGGUUCUCUGCGGCUGCAUUUCUCGAGCCUGUUGGCUGAGCUGCUGAGAUCUACUGUAUGCUCACUGCGUGGCAUCUUUCAUCUGGCAAUUACUGAGAGUGGAAGGGGAGGAGCCUGAAAAAGGAACUUUGAUGUGACGUCCUUCUCACUCACAAGGAAAACACCGACACUGACAGUAAACAUAAAGAAGUGGCAACUCUACGGUGAUUUUCAGAUUGUUCUUACCAUUUUUAUCACGUUUGCUUUCCUUCAUCAAAACUUCUAUCUAGGA
Long non-coding RNA from Lutra lutra (Eurasian river otter), 371 nucleotides. RefSeq lists it as uncharacterized. The transcript has 2 exons. The record is from RefSeq and is a predicted model, not a curated record. NCBI's taxonomy places the organism in Eukaryota, Metazoa, Chordata, Mammalia, Carnivora, Mustelidae.